CAACCCUCAGGCGCCCUCCGGGGCGCCUGGUGUUGGGGACCGGCCGCCCGCGCCGCCCCCGAAAUGCAGUGGCGACCUCGCCGCAGCCUCCCCUGCGUAGUAGCACAACCUCGCACCGGAGCGCGGAGACGGUCACGCCGUAAAACGCCCAACUUCCUUUAG
This 162-nucleotide unclassified non-coding RNA is filed under the name uncultured Chaunopycnis. RNAcentral's name for it is "sequence contains ITS2". The record is from RNAcentral. Lineage: Eukaryota; Fungi; Ascomycota; Sordariomycetes; Hypocreales; Clavicipitaceae.